This 654-nucleotide ribosomal RNA is filed under the name uncultured soil bacterium. RNAcentral describes it as "bacterial SSU rRNA". It matches the Rfam family "Bacterial small subunit ribosomal RNA", at positions 34 to 699 of the family's 1533-position model. The record is from RNAcentral.
CGCUGGCGGCGUGCUUAACACAUGCAAGUCAUGGGGGCGGAGCAAUCCGCAACCGGCGAACGGGUGCGUAACACGUGAGCAAUCUACCGAUUUGAGGGGGAUAGCCGGCCCAACGGCCGGGUAACACCGCAUACGCUCACGGCGAGGAGUCUCGCUGUGAGGAAACCUCCGGGGCAAAUCGAGGAGCUCGCGGCCUAUCAGCUAGUUGGCGGGGUAACGGCCCACCAAGGCGACGACGGGUAGCUGGUCUGAGAGGAUGGCCAGCCACAUUGGGACUGAGAGACGGCCCAGACUCCUACGGGAGGCAGCAGUGGGGAAUCUUGCGCAAUGGCCGAAAGGCUGACGCAGCGACGCCGCGUGUGGGAGGACGCCCUUCGGGGUGUAAACCACUGUUGCCCGGGACGAAUGCCCCUUUCGAGGGGAGUGACGGUACCGGGUGAGGAAGCACCGGCUAACUCCGUGCCAGCAGCCGCGGUAAUACGGAGGGUGCGAGCGUUGUCCGGAAUCACUGGGCGUAAAGGGCGCGUAGGCGGCUUCUUAAGCGUGCGGUGAAAGCUCGGGGCUCAACUCCGAGUCGGCCGUGCGAACUGGGAAGCUGGAGCACAGUAGAGGCAGAUGGAAUUCCGGGUGUAGCGGUGGAAUGCGUAGAGAUCC